RNAcentral lists this unclassified non-coding RNA (1663 nucleotides) under uncultured fungus. Its description in RNAcentral is "sequence contains 18S rRNA gene, ITS1, 5.8S rRNA gene, ITS2, 28S rRNA gene". The stretch from base 590 to 1663 matches the Rfam family "Eukaryotic large subunit ribosomal RNA", at positions 1 to 961 of the family's 3401-position model. The record is from RNAcentral. Lineage: Eukaryota; Fungi.
GGAAGGAUCAUUAACAAAUCAAAUUGUGGUGUGGAUGUGAUUGAUUUAUUCUUUGAUGAUGUAUAGUGUUGAGUUCAGCACUCUAUAUCCACAGAGUAUAACAUCAAUCUCACAUACACCUAACAUUUGUGCUCCAGGCAUUUCGUCUGGGUGCAAUUAUAUAUCAUAUAUAUAUUCAUUAUUGUCAGUUGUUUGUCUAUUUUUUAAAUUUAUAAUCAUACUUUUAACAAUGGAUCUCUUGGCUCUUGCAUCGAUGAAGAACGCAGUAAUGUGCGAAAAGUAAUGCGAAUUGCAUACCUCUGCGAGUCAUCUAGUCUUUGAACGCAAAUGGCACUGUCACGACGAGUGAUAGUAUGUCUGUUUGAGAACCACAAAACACCUCACCACAAUAUAUGUGAGUGGAACAUGUCCUCUUGCACACUUGUAUGUGUAAUUGGAUUGAACAUAGGAUGCUGCGUGGAUCACACGCGGAAUAUGUGAUAGUCAUUUUCAUAUUCCGAGUGAUCUAAUAACGUGCACUUUUAGCGAAUGGUUUGUGGUGGUAUUGUUAAUACAAUACGAUCAUGUAUCAUUUGCAACUUUUAAUCGUUGGUCUCAAAUUAGACAAGGUUACCCGCUGAACUUAAGCAUAUCAGUAAGCGGAGGAAAAGAAACUAACAAGGAUUCCCGUAGUAACGGCGAGUGAAGUGGGAAUAGCUCAAAUUUAAAAUCUGGCCUUUGGCCCGAAUUGUAGUCUAAAGAGGUGCUAUCUUGAUAAUAUCAUGUGCGUACAAGUGUCCUGGAAUGGACCAUCACAGAGGGUGAGAAUCCCGUUUGGAUGCACAUUUUCAUCAUUAUGAGGCACUCUCUAAGAGUCGAGUUGUUUGGGAAUGCAGCUCAAAUUGGGUGGUAAACUUCAUCCAAGGCUAAAUAUUGGCAAGAGACCGAUAGCGAACAAGUACCGUGAGGGAAAGAUGAAAAGCACCUUGAAAAGGGAGUUAAACAGCGCGUGAAAUUGUUAAAAGGGAAACGAUUGAAGCUAGCAUUGUGCACAACAUUUUCUUUGGCUAAUAGAUUUUAGAGAGCGUAAGCCUCUAUAAUGUACCACAAUCAUUGAUGAUGUGUGCGCGAGUCAGGGCCGAUUUGAUUUGCCUUAGAAUGCAUUGGAAAUGUACUCAUCACUCGUGAUGACCUUAUAGUCUAAUGAUUUGGAUGAGGUGAAUUGGAUCUGGUAGUCGAUUAUGAAUGUUUUAUCUGCUCUUUUCCAAUGGUAUAAAGACUGCAUGCAGACUUUUAUAUUUCAUUUGGUGUAUGACAAUGAUAUUUCAUGACAUGAUUACGUAUCUGACGAAAUGGCUUUAAACGACCCGUCUUGAAACACGGACCAAGGAGUCUAACAUGUAUGCGAGUGUUUGGGUGGUAAACCCGAGCGCGCAAUGAAAGUGUUAGUUAUACGUGGGACCCAUUUAGUAGUGGGGCACCAUGAACCGAUCUUGAUAUCUCUUGAUAGAUUCGAGUUAGAGCAUAAAUGUUGGGACCCGAAAGAUGGUGAACUAUGCCUGGAUAGGAUGAAGCCAGAGGAAACUCUGGUGGAGGUCCGCCGCCGUUCUGACGUGCAAAUCGAUGGUCAAAUUUGGGCAUAGGGGCGAAAGACUAAUCGAACCAUCUAGUAGCUGGUUCCCUC